This 946-nucleotide small RNA is filed under the name Pan troglodytes (chimpanzee). Its description in RNAcentral is "retained intron". The record is from RNAcentral. Lineage: Eukaryota; Metazoa; Chordata; Mammalia; Primates; Hominidae.
UCCCCUGGAGAGAUCCUGGGCUGCACAUCCCCCCGACUGUCCAAAGAGGUGGAGGCCGUUGUGUAUCUUGGAGAUGGCCGCUUCCAUCUGGAGUCUGUCAUGAUUGCCAACCCCAAUGUCCCCGCUUACCGGUAUGACCCAUAUAGCAAAGUCCUAUCCAGAGAACACUAUGACCACCAGCGCAUGCAGGCUGCUCGCCAAGAAGCCAUAGCCACUGCCCGCUCAGCUAAGUCCUGGGGCCUUAUUCUGGGCACUUUGGGCCGCCAGGGCAGUCCUAAGAUCCUGGAGGUCAGUGGGCUCAGGACAGCCUCUGGAGGAGGGAAGUGACUGGGAACACAGCUGGGAAAACCAGUAGGCCACAGGUUCAGCUUUGGCUGCUUGACCAGGUGACCCCCACCCUGCCUCCCUCUCCCAACAGCACCUGGAAUCUCAACUCCGAGCCUUGGGCCUUUCCUUUGUGAGGCUGCUGCUCUCUGAGAUCUUCCCCAGCAAGCUUAGCCUACUUCCCGAGGUGGAUGUGUGGGUGCAGGUGGCAUGUCCACGUCUCUCCAUUGACUGGGGCACAGCCUUCCCCAAGCCGCUGCUGACACCCUAUGAGGCGGCCGUGGCUCUGAGGGACAUUUCCUGGCAGCAGCCCUACCCGAUGGACUUCUACGCUGGCAGCUCUUUGGGGCCCUGGACGGUGAACCACGGCCAGGACCGCCGUCCCCACGCCCCGGGCCGGCCCGCGCGGGGGAAGGUGCAGGAGGGGUCCGCGCGUCCCCCUUCAGCCGUGGCUUGCGAGGAUUGCAGCUGCAGGGACGAGAAGGUGGCGCCGCUGGCUCCUUGACGUGCUCCGGGGCCUCAGGGUCCUGCCCUCCGGAGGAGCAGCCUCGAGGCUGGUGGUUUUCAGAGCAGGAGGCCGACGUUUUCUCCGCAUUGGAAGAGCCCGCCGUAUGCAGGGGCC